Molecule: ribosomal RNA, 253 nt
Filed under: uncultured bacterium
Lineage: Bacteria
Description: partial 16S ribosomal RNA
Rfam family: Bacterial small subunit ribosomal RNA
Source: RNAcentral
UACGAAGGGGGCUAGCGUUGCUCGGAAUUACUGGGCGUAAAGGGCGCGUAGGCGGAUAUUUAAGUCGGGGGUGAAAGCCCAGGGCUCAACCCUGGAAUUGCCUUCGAUACUGGAUAUCUUGAGUUCGGGAGAGGUGAGUGGAAUGCCGAGUGUAGAGGUGAAAUUCGUAGAUAUUCGGCGGAACACCAGUGGCGAAGGCGACUCACUGGCCCGAUACUGACGCUGAGGUGCGAAAGCGUGGGGAGCAAACAGG